CCCCAUAAAACCAUCAAAGCAUGAUGUUCUGCAGACUUUAGCUGCUCUCCCGGUUCUGGUUACAGACCAGCCCCUUUUACAUCCCCCUGCACUUUCCUUAUCUCUACACUAUAAAUAAACACACUGCAGUUGCCAGCCAGAGCUUUUCUCCCAUCAGGAGGAGAAGCCUCCACCUAGCCUCAGCUUUUGUAUCUCUUUGUCUUUUCUUCAUUCCCCACUGUUCUCCCUCCAAGGACCCUUCAGCCACACAGGCCGAGGCACAGGUACUCAAGCACGUGGGAAUCUGAGGCUCAAAGAGUGAAGUUUUGGCCAAGGGUGUGGGCUGUCUGUCUGAUCGCACACUUCUGUUCCAAUCUUCAUGCUGCACAGAUCGGUGAAGCAGAGGCUCAAAUCAGAGAGGCCCCAGUGGUACUCAAAGUUGUUGUUGUGGGUGAGGCUGUCAAAUUAAACAAGUAGGAAGAAGAAACCCAAGAAAAAGCUGCAAGAAAUGCAACAUUUAAUACACUGGCUACAAAUUAGUGGUCCCCACUUGGCCCACGGACAGUUUGUUAAGCUAGCACAGCUUUUUUUUUUUAAUUCUUUUAUUGGUACAUUGUAGGUAUACAACACAAUUACAUUUCUCAUUGGGGACUUGUACCUUUACAUGAUGCAUCUUGGUUCUUAUUUUUCCCCCUUCCCCUACCCUCCCUGCAACCCCUCCAGUCCUCCCUAUUUACAAAGAUUUUGUUCCUAUUUUUCCAUUUUCUCAUAUUAAUCCCAUUCCCUUCUUUCCUUUCCUCGACCCCUCCCACUUCCUUCCCCUUUGCCCCUUUUCUUCCUAUUUCACAUUACCUAUUAUACAUUUAGUCCUUAUUUACACUUUCAGUUUCUCACACCAGAGAAACUAUUUGGUAUUUAUACAUGUGUCCUUUUUAAAAAAAAUUGGUGCAUAUCAGUGCUACAGAAUAGUGAGAUUCAUGAUGGUACACUGGAACCUGCAUAUAGAAUAUUGUGAUUAUAUUUGUCCCUCUUAUCCCCCUAUGCCUAAUCCCUUCCUGUAGCACUACAAGAUUACCUUCUAGUUUCUUGUCCUUUUCCUUUUGUUUUUGUUUGUUUGUUCACGUAUAGAUGUCUUAUGUGAGAGAACGCAUGUGAUUGGUAGCUUUCUGAGACUGGCUUUAUUUCACUUACCCUGGUAUCAAUGCCUUUUGGGGGAAUAAGGCACAAUCCCCACUCCCUCAG
Molecule: long non-coding RNA, 1221 nt
Filed under: Heterocephalus glaber (naked mole-rat)
Lineage: Eukaryota; Metazoa; Chordata; Mammalia; Rodentia; Bathyergidae
Description: lncRNA (ENSHGLG00000044004.1)
Source: RNAcentral